This 1950-nucleotide ribosomal RNA is filed under the name Triticum aestivum (bread wheat). RNAcentral describes it as "partial small subunit ribosomal RNA". Lineage: Eukaryota; Viridiplantae; Streptophyta; Magnoliopsida; Poales; Poaceae. The record is from RNAcentral.
AUGAACUCGUCCAUGGACGAGAUCAACCUGCUACGGCAGCACCAGCGACACCAGCAGCACCACCUGUCGGUGCGCGGCAUCGGUGAGGAGAUCGACCUCGAGAUCGACCAGUGUGAAGAUCCCACUUUCUCGGGCGCCGCACUCGAGGGCGUGACCUCCCAUCACCCUCAAGACCCCGUCGUCCCUGCCGAUGACCACAAGAGCUUCCUCAUCCCGUGCUCGCAGCCUGGCGCAGUGGACGGCCAACCGCAGCCCACGCCACCGCAAGCAGAGGAACGGGCAGGGAUGCUGAGGCUGUCGGCGCAUACCAAGAAGAAGAAGAAGGUGGUCAAGAAAUGGCGGGAUGAGUGGGCGGACACAUACAAGUGGGCCUAUGUGGCCGUGCACGACAACACCAGCAGAAUCUUCUGCACCGUUUGCAAGGAGUAUGGCCGCAAGCAUCGCCGGAACCCCUAUGGGAACGAGGGGAGCAGGAACAUGCAGAUGAGUGCGCUAGAGGAGCACAACAAUAGCUUGCUGCAUAAGGAGGCGCUCCGACUGCAGUCAGCCUCCAAGGAGAAGGUGCAAACUCCUGAGAUAGAGAGGCCGGUUUGUGUCAAAGCUUUGUCGAAAACAGCAGCUUCAAUACUUGAAUCUCUCUUCAAGAAGGACCCUCAUGAAGCUGAAUUUAUACAGUCUAUACAGGAGGUGGUUCAUUCUAUAGAACCAGUUUUGGUGAAGAACUCACAAUAUGUUCAGAUAUUGGAGCGUUUAUUAGAACCUGAGAGAUGUUUUAUCUUCAGAGUGCCAUGGGUUGAUGACAGAGGUGAAGCUCAUGUCAAUCGAGGUUUCCGUGUGCAGUUCAGUCAGGCUUUAGGUCCAUGCAGAGGUGGUCUCCGUUUCCACCCGUCCAUGAACUUAAGUGUGGCAAAGUUUCUAGCUUUUGAGCAGACUCUGAAGAAUGCUCUGUCACUAUAUAAACUUGGAGGUGCUGCUGGAGGGAGCGAUUUUGAUCCAAAGGGUAAAAGUGAAAUUGAGGUAAUGCGCUUUUGUCAAAGUUUCAUGGAUGAGCUGUAUAGAUACUUGGGCCCUGAUCAGGAUUUUCCUGCUGAAGAUGUUGGUGUUGGUCCAAGGGAAAUGGGUUUCCUUUUUGGGCAGUACAGACGCCUUUCUGGUCAUUUUCAGGGAAAUUUUACAGGGCCUAAGAUCUUCUGGUCUGGUUCUAGUUUUAGAACAGAAGCUACUGGAUACGGACUGGUAUUUUUUGCACGUGUUGUACUUGCUGAUAUGAAUAAGGAGCUCAAAGGAUUAAGAUGUGCGAUAAGUGGUUCAGGAAAGAUAGCAAUGCAUGUCUUGGAAAAGCUUCUGUCGUGUGAAGCUAUUCCUGUUACAGUCUCAGAUUCAGAAGGCUAUCUAUUUGAUGGAGACGGGUUUGAUUAUGUGAAAUAUACACUUAUAAGGAAUAUUAAGGCACAACAAAGGAGCCUCAAGGAAUACUUGAAAACAUUUCCACGUGCCAAAUAUAUCAAUGAUGCUAAGCCAUGGGGUGAGCAGUGUGAUAUUGCAUUCCCUUGUGCAUCACAAAAUGAGAUUGACCAGGGGGAGGCUCUUUCAAUAAUUAGCUCUGGUUGCCGUGUUCUUAUAGAAUGUUCAAACAUGCCAUGCACUGGUCAAGCAGUUGAUAUCCUAAGAAAGGCAAAAGUCCAUGUUGCUCCAGCAAAGGCAACUGCUGCUGGUGGGGUAGCAGUCGGUGAACUUGAACUGAAUCCAGAGUUCAGCUUAAUGCAGUGGUCAGUAGAGGAUUUCGAGAACAAAAUACAGGAAGCAGUAAAGCAAACAUAUGACAGGUCGAUGAAAGCUGCUCAAGAAUAUGGAAUCCUGAAAGAGAACCCAGAGUCUUUGGUGCAUGGUGCAAACAUAUCGGCCUUCCUGAACAUUGCACAAGCCAUGACUGAUCAAGGAUGUGUGUAG